AUCUUCUUUGAAGGUAUGCUUAAGGAGGGGCUUGCGACACAUUAGUUAGGUGGCAGGGUAAAGGCCUACCAAGACUAUGAUGUGUAGCUGGACUGAGAGGUUGAACAGCCACAUUGGGACUGAGACACGGCCCAAACUCCUACGGGAGGCAGCAGUAGGGAAUUUUCGGCAAUGGAGGAAACUCUGACCGAGCAACGCCGCGUGAACGAUGAAGUACCUCGGUAUGUAAAGUUCUUUUAUUAAGGAAGAAAAAAGAGUGGAAAAACUCCCUUGACGGUACUUAAUGAAUAAGCCCCGGCUAAUUAUGUGCCAACAGCCGCGGUAAUACAUAAGGGGCGAGCGUUAUCCGGAAUUAUUGGGCGUAAAGGGUGCGUAGGCGGUUUAAUAAGUCUAUAGUUUAAUUUCAGUGCUUAACGCUGUUGUGCUAUAGAAACUGUUUUACUAGAGUGAGAUAGAGGCAAGCGGAAUUCCAUGUGUACCGGUAAAAUGCGUAAAUAUAUGGAGGAACACCAAAGGCGUA
Molecule: ribosomal RNA, 520 nt
Filed under: Candidatus Phytoplasma pruni
Lineage: Bacteria; Bacillati; Mycoplasmatota; Mollicutes; Acholeplasmatales; Acholeplasmataceae
Description: bacterial SSU rRNA
Rfam family: Bacterial small subunit ribosomal RNA
Source: RNAcentral